CCCUUAGAUGUUCUGGGCCGCACGCGCGCUACACUGUUCGACGCAGCGAGUCUUAACCUUGACCGAAAGGUUUGGGUAAUCUUCAGCAAAGUCGAACGUGAUGGGGAUCGAUCAUUGCAAUUAUUGAUCGUGAACGAGGAAUGCCUAGUAAGCGCAAGACAUCAGCUUGCGUUGAUUACGUCCCUGCCCUUUGUACACACCGCCCGUCGCUCCUACCGAUUGAAUGGUCCGGUGAAGCGUUUGGACUAUGGUUUUCUGAUGGUCCGCCGUUGGAUUACCGUGGGAAGUUCGUUAAACCUUAUCAUUUAGAGGAAGGAGAAGUCGUAACA
This 329-nucleotide ribosomal RNA is filed under the name uncultured eukaryote. RNAcentral's name for it is "partial 18S ribosomal RNA". It matches the Rfam family "Eukaryotic small subunit ribosomal RNA", at positions 1470 to 1796 of the family's 1831-position model. The record is from RNAcentral.